RNAcentral lists this long non-coding RNA (1040 nucleotides) under Nicotiana benthamiana. Its description in RNAcentral is "long non-coding RNA (NBEN_LNC027500)". Lineage: Eukaryota; Viridiplantae; Streptophyta; Magnoliopsida; Solanales; Solanaceae. The record is from RNAcentral.
AGACAAGAGGGGUUGCUCUGAUAGUAAGCAACCCCCACUUCCAACUGAGAGGUUGUAAGUUCGAGUCUUCCCAAGAGCAAGGUGGGAAGUUCUUGGAGGGAAGGAUGCCGGGGGUCUAUUUGGAAACAGCCUCUCUACCCCAGGGAAGAGGGGUUGCUCUGAUAGUAAGCAACCCCCACUUCCAACUGAGAGGUUGUAAGUUCGAGUCUUCCCAAGAGCAAGGUGGGAAGUUCUUGGAGGGAAGGAUGCCAGGGGUUUAUUUGGAAACAAUAUCUCUACCCAAGGCUAGGGGUAAGGUCUGCGUACAUACUACCCUCUCCAGAUCCCACUACGUGGGAUUAUACUGGGUUGUUGUUGUUGUUGUGAGGAUAUGCAACAUUCUGCGUCUGUCAGUUUUGCUGAUAGUGGAAAACGAGCUCUACACUAGAAAUUUUCUUUUUUGGAUGAGGUGCACAUGCAAGUGGAAAAAAUGAUUCUCCAUAAUCCAACAAGAAUAUUGUCAGAGUUGUAAAAUAUGCACUGGGACGAAUAUUCUAUGUGAUCUUUGGACUGAUUGGAGCAUUUGUCUCCAAUGAGACGGGUGAGUGGUUGAGGCAUAGGAGUAGAGCUACAACAUGUAGAUCCUAGGUUUGGACCCUAGCUACAAUAAUAAGCGUGAGUCCAUUUGCUCCAGCCUUUGUGGGUAGGUUUUUCGGUACCUGUAUUUGUGAGUUGUAUUAGUACUGCUCGAUAGAUUAUCUAAAUACGCACAAGGUUGGAAAGCUGCGGUUGGUCCAAAGGAUCGGCCCUAGACGGAUUUCUCAGUCAUCAAAAAAAAAAAAAAAAAAAUACGCACAAGCUGGCUUGGACAACAUCCUCAUCAGAUUUUUUUAGAAAAAAGACAUUACUAGCAUUUAAUCGCGGUAAAGACCCUUUCCAAGUAUACCUCCCUUUUUGCAGAUAGACCUGUUCUUUUAGGUCAUAUUGCAUCUCAUUCGAUCAAGACCCAGAUUGUUCCUCUCUCUGGCUUCUCAUCUCUUUUUCUUCAUAUCAAAGACGAA